Molecule: ribosomal RNA, 71 nt
Filed under: Ureibacillus terrenus
Lineage: Bacteria; Bacillati; Bacillota; Bacilli; Caryophanales; Caryophanaceae
Description: partial 16S ribosomal RNA
Rfam family: Bacterial small subunit ribosomal RNA
Source: RNAcentral
UUCUUUUUGGAGAGUUUGAUCCUGGCUCAGGACGAACGCUGGCGGCGUGCCUAAUACAUGCAAGUCGAGCG